GGAAGUAAAAGUCGUAACAAAGUUUCCGUAGGUGAACCUGCGGAAGGAUCAUUCAUAAUAAGUGUUUUACUGCACUUUUUAAAAAUAGUACUCACCUUGUGUGCAAUGUUGUGUUUCUUUUCGGAGAAACACCUACACCAACCUAUAACCUUGAACCACUUUGUCUGAAAAACUAUUAUGAAUACUUAAUUCAAAAUACAACUUUCAACAACGGAUCUCUUGGCUCUC
RNAcentral lists this unclassified non-coding RNA (228 nucleotides) under plant metagenome. Its description in RNAcentral is "partial contains small subunit ribosomal RNA, internal transcribed spacer 1, and 5.8S ribosomal RNA". The stretch from base 1 to 54 matches the Rfam family "Eukaryotic small subunit ribosomal RNA", at positions 1778 to 1831 of the family's 1831-position model. The record is from RNAcentral.